This 484-nucleotide ribosomal RNA is filed under the name uncultured bacterium. RNAcentral describes it as "partial 16S ribosomal RNA". It matches the Rfam family "Bacterial small subunit ribosomal RNA", at positions 30 to 507 of the family's 1533-position model. The record is from RNAcentral.
AUUGAACGCUGGCGGCAGGCCUAACACAUGCAAGUCGAGCGGAUGAGGGGAGCUUGCUCCUGGAUUCAGCGGCGGACGGGUGAGUAAUGCCUAGGAAUCUGCCUGGUAGUGGGGGAUAACGUCCGGAAACGGGCGCUAAUACCGCAUACGACCUGAGGGAGAAAGUGGGGGAUCUUAGGACCUCACGCUAUCAGAUGAGCCUAGGUCGGAUUAGCUAGUUGGUGGGGUAAAGGCCUACCAAGGCGACGAUCCGUAACUGGUCUGAGAGGAUGACCAGGCACACUGGAACUGAGACACGGUCCAGACUCCUACGGGAGGCAGCAGUGGGGAAUAUUGGACAAUGGGCGAAAGCCUGAUCCAGCCAUGCCGCGUGUGUGAAGAAGGUCUUCGGAUUGUAAAGCGCUUUAAGUUGGGAGGAAGGGCAGUAAGUUAAUACCUUGCUGUUUUGACGUUACCAACAGAAUAAGCACCGGCUAACUUCGUG